RNAcentral lists this ribosomal RNA (855 nucleotides) under uncultured Acidobacteriota bacterium. RNAcentral's name for it is "bacterial SSU rRNA". It matches the Rfam family "Bacterial small subunit ribosomal RNA", at positions 58 to 896 of the family's 1533-position model. The record is from RNAcentral. Lineage: Bacteria; Pseudomonadati; Acidobacteriota.
CAAGUCGAACGCGGUUAUUCAGCAAUGGAUAACUAAGUGGCGAACGGGUGAGUAACACGUGGGGGACCUACCUUCGAGUGGGGGAUAACGUCCCGAAAGGGACGCUAAUACCGCAUAACAUCCUGCCUUUGAAAAGGUGGAGAUCAAAGCCGGGGAUCGUAAGACCUGGCGCUUGAUGAGGGGCCCGCGUCCGAUUAGCUAGUUGGUGAGGUAAUGGCCCACCAAGGCGACGAUCGGUAGCCGGCCUGAGAGGGCGGACGGCCACACUGGGACUGGGACACGGCCCAGACUCCUACGGGAGGCAGCAGUGGGGAAUUGUUCACAAUGGGCGCAAGCCUGAUGACGCAACGCCGCGUGGAGGAUGAAGGUCUUCGGAUUGUAAACUCCUGUUGCCCGGGACGAAAAGCUCCGACCUAACACGUCGGAGUCUGACGGUACCGGGUGAGGAAGCCCCGGCUAACUCUGUGCCAGCAGCCGCGGUAAUACAGAGGGGGCAAGCGUUGUUCGGAAUUACUGGGCGUAAAGGGCGCGUAGGCGGCCUUCUAAGUCGAACGUGAAAUCCCUGGGCUCAACCCAGGAACUGCGUCCGAUACUGGAAGGCUCGAAUCCGGGAGAGGGAUGUGGAAUUCCAGGUGUAGCGGUGAAAUGCGUAGAUAUCUGGAGGAACACCGGUGGCGAAGGCGACAUCCUGGACCGGUAUUGACGCUGAGGCGCGAAAGCCAGGGGAGCAAACGGGAUUAGAUACCCCGGUAGUCCUGGCCCUAAACGAUGAAUGCUUGGUGUGGCGGGUAUCGAUCCCUGCCGUGCCGAAGCUAACGCAUUAGCAUUCCGCUGGGGAGUACGGUCGCAAGGCUG